CUUCGUCAAGAAGGGAAUUACAGUGAUCCCGCUCCUGACGUCGGUGCUGCAGGAUGAGAAGGAGUGGGAGACCCCCCACAGCUUCAACCCCGGCCACUUCCUGGAUGAGAAGGGCUGCUUCAUCAAGAGAGACGCCUUCAUGCCCUUCUCUGCAGGGCGACGGGCCUGUCUGGGAGAGAGUCUGU
Anguilla rostrata (American eel) is the source of this 185-nucleotide long non-coding RNA. RefSeq lists it as uncharacterized. The record is from RefSeq and is a predicted model, not a curated record. The transcript is spliced from 3 exons. NCBI's taxonomy places the organism in Eukaryota, Metazoa, Chordata, Actinopteri, Anguilliformes, Anguillidae.